RNAcentral lists this transfer RNA (62 nucleotides) under Dipodomys ordii (Ord's kangaroo rat). It matches the Rfam family "tRNA", at positions 1 to 61 of the family's 71-position model. Rfam says of the family: Transfer RNA (tRNA) molecules are approximately 80 nucleotides in length. Their secondary structure includes four short double-helical elements and three loops (D, anti-codon, and T loops). Further hydrogen bonds mediate the characteristic L-shaped molecular structure. tRNAs have two regions of fundamental functional importance: the anti-codon, which is responsible for specific mRNA codon recognition, and the 3' end, to which the tRNAs corresponding amino acid is attached (by aminoacyl-tRNA synthetases). tRNAs cope with the degeneracy of the genetic code in two manners: having more than one tRNA (with a specific anti-codon) for a particular amino acid; and 'wobble' base-pairing, i.e. permitting non-standard base-pairing at the 3rd anti-codon position. Lineage: Eukaryota; Metazoa; Chordata; Mammalia; Rodentia; Heteromyidae. The record is from Rfam by way of RNAcentral.
GGGAACGUGGCUCAGUGGUAGAGUGCUUGCCUUGCAUGCAUGAGGCCCUGGGCUCGAUUCCU